AACGAACGCUGGCGGCAGGCCUAACACAUGCAAGUCGAGCGCCACGCAAGGGGCGCGGCGGACGGGUGAGUAACGCGUGGGAAUAUGCCCUUUGCCACGGCCUAGUCUCGGGAAACUGGGGGUAAUACCGUAUCCGCCCUCUGGGGGAAAGGUUUAUCGGCGAAGGAUUAGCCCGCGUGGGAUUAGGUCGUUGGUGGGGUAAUGGCCUACCAAGCCGACGAUCCAUAGCUGGGUUGAGAGGAUGAUCAGCCACACUGGGACUGAGACACGGCCCAGACUCCUACGGGAGGCAGCAGUGGGGAAUCUUAGACAAUGGGGGCAACCCUGAUCUAGCCAUGCCGCGUGAGUGAUGAAGGCCUUAGGGUUGUAAAGCUCUUUCAGCUGGGAAGAUAAUGACGGUACCAGCAGAAGAAGCCCCGGCUAACUCCGUG
This 431-nucleotide ribosomal RNA is filed under the name uncultured bacterium. Its description in RNAcentral is "partial 16S ribosomal RNA". It matches the Rfam family "Bacterial small subunit ribosomal RNA", at positions 29 to 507 of the family's 1533-position model. The record is from RNAcentral.